GGAGAGCAUUUAAGGUUGGGGAGGGCUGGCAUAUCUGAGCGACAGCAGAGAAGAUGGUGUAUCCAGAGCCAUAGGAGGAAAGUGGAGAAUAGUAGGAGGUCAGUUCUGGGAGAGAACAGACGACCAGAUCCUAUAAAGAUGCAGAAAACAUUUCAAGGUUUUUGGAUCUUACACAGGGAAGAAGGUUGUUGAAAAAUUAAAAAGUGGAGCAUUAUGAUUUGACUUAAGGAUUAAAAGGAUCCCACGUUGAGAAUAGACUAGGAGCAAGAUGAGUUUCCAGCAUUAGUAGGCCAUCACAAUUGUCCAAGCAAGAGAUGAGGGUGGCUUGAACUAGAGGUGGUGGGAAACGGCUGAGAUCACAGUAUGACUUGAAGAUGUAACAUAUAGGAUUUGCCAACAAAGAAAACAGAGGAGUGAAGUGUGCCAGUACGCCUUUUGUCCUGAGCAUCUGGAAGGAUGCCCUUGUCCUUAAUUGAUAUGAGAAGAACAUCCAUGAGGGCUGGAUUUGAAGGGAAGAUCAAAAUGUUAAUUUUGAUGUUGUUUGAGAUGCCUAUUGGAAAUUUCAGUGGAAAUCUCUGCCUUAACGUAUACUUUUUGUAUGAAAAUAUAUUUUCUCUGAAGCAUAGAUAAGUUUAGUGAUCUAUGGAUAUAGCGGAAAAACAUUUGCCAGCCUACAUAAGCCACAGGUCUGCUUUAACCUCUUUCAAAAUUGACCCUCUGGGAAAGAGUGCUAUGUUGCUGGGUUGGUUUAUGCUAAUGCACUGAGUCACAUUCAGAACUCUUAUCUCACAUCUAUGUUCAGAGAAGCACUAGUCAAACAGCCGAAAGAUAGAAGCAACCCAGGUGUCCAUCAACAGAUGAAUGACUAAACAGAAUGUGGUGUAUGCAGACUAAGGAAUGUUAUUCAGCCUUAACAGGAAAGGCAGUUCUGAACCAUGCUGUGACUCUCAAGGACAAUAUGCUGAGUGGAAUCGUCAGGCUGAAACAAGCCAGUCAUAAAAAAGCAAUGCUAUUUCAGUCCACUUAUAUGAGGUGCCUAGAGUAGUGAAAUUCAUAGAUACAGAAAGUUGAAUGGCUGUAGAGUUUCAAUUUUGCAAGGUAAAGAAAUGCGAAUAUUUGAAAUGCAAAUAUACUGAAGAUAGUAAUCUGAAUGCUUAAAAUAGUUAAAACCGUAAAUUUUAUGUCAUGUGUUUUAUCUCAAUUAAAAAUGUUAAAAAUACCUCAUAUCUUGAUGCUGCUGUUCUUAUUGGUCCAUACUGAACACCUUCUCUCUUUCUUCAUUCUACUAAAGCAUAAGCAUCACUACCACAUGAUCCAUCAAUCCCACUGCUGGGCAUAUAUCUGGACAAAAUUACAGUCCAAAAAGAAACAUACAUCCCUACGUUCAUAGCAGCACUAUUAUCAAUAGCCAAGGAGGCAACCUAAAUGUCUAUCAACAGAGGAAUAAAUUAAGAUGAUGUGAUACAUACACAAUGGAAUACUACUCAGCCAAAAAAAACAAAAUAAUGCCAUUUGCAGCCACAUAGAUACAGCUAAAGAUUCUCAUACUAAGUGAAGUAAGUCAGAAAGAGAAAGACAAAUACAAUACAAUAUCACUUAUAUAUGGAAUCUAAAAUGUGGCACAAAUGAACCCAUCUGCAGAACAGAAUCAGACUCAUAGACAUAGAAAACAGGCUUGUGGUUAUCAAAGGGAAAAGGGGAGGGAGUGGGAUGGACUGGGAGCAUGGGGUUUGUAGAUUCGAACUAUUACAUUUAGAAUGGAUAAGCAAUGAAGUCCUACUUUACAGCACAGGGAACCAUAUCCAGUGUCUUGGAUAGAACAUGAUGGAAGACAAUAUGAGAAAAAAAUAUAUAUGUAUGUAUGACUGGGUCACAUUGCUGUAUAGCAGAAAUUGAAACAACAUUGUAAAUCAACUAUAUACUUUAAUAUAAAUAUAAAUUAAUGAAUAAAAUACUUCAUAAUUUGUACUUUAAUAAAAAUACAAAUCAAUGAAUAAAAAUAAAGUAAAAUGUAGCAGUCAGAUUUCCCACUGUGGCCCAGUAGGUAAGAAGCCAAUUGCAAUGGCUCAGGUACCUGCGAAUGUGUCUGUUUUUUUUGUUUUUUGGUUUUUUUCUCAAUGAAUUUAUCCAUUUAUAGUUGUACAGUGAUCAUCACAGUCCAAUUUUAUAGGAUUUCCAUCCCACAACCCCAGCACAUUCCCCCACCCCUGAAACUGUCUCCUUUGGAAACUAUAAGUUUUUCAAAGUCAGUGAGUCAGUAUCUGUUCUGCAAAGUUCAUUCUGUCCUUUUCUCAGAUUCUACAUGUCAGUGAAAGCAUUUGAUGUUGGUGUCUCACUGUAUGGCUGACUUCACUUAGCAUGAUAAUUUCUAGGUCCAUCCAUGUUGCUAAAAAUAAUGUGCAUGUUUGACCUCUGGCCUGUUACAGUAGGUUAAGGAUCCAACAUUGCCUAGGUUGCAGUCUGUGGCUUGGAUUCAAUUCUUGGCCCAGGAAUUUCUGUGUGCCAUUGGUGCAGCCAUAAAAUGAAAAUAAAAUUAAUAAAUAACUGAAAGGUAGGAGUCAUCCUCAAACUUAAUGUCAGACAUCAUUGGUCCCAGAAAAUUAUCUGUCAUUAUCUGCUGAUUAUAAAUCUCCUUGGGCUCAGACUUUAUAUCAUAUUUCUAGGGUUUUUCUUUAUCUUUGGAUUCUUUGGUCAUAACCCUUGCUGUCUUUAUCCCUAGGAUGCUCAUUUUCCAUCUCCAAAGCAAAGCUUUCCUUGGGAUAUUCUGAACUCUGCUAUCUUUAUUUUGUAGGCUAUACCCUGAAGGUCUCACCAUUUAUAUUCAAAGAGACUAUCUAGGUAUUUUCCACAUGAAUUAUGAAUUCCAAAUGAAUUAUAAGUUCCAAAUGAAUUUCUAAGUGAAAAGAAUUAUUACCCUUUCUUAGUAUUCUGAAUAUGCUUCAGUAGGUUUUAGCAUAAAAUACUAAUUUUUUUCUUCAUACCACUCGUGGAAAAUAUUAAAUCACCCUAUGCACCUAGUAGAUUAAAUAUUGAGGAAGUCUUUUUAACCCAAGUAUAUAUCAAAUGCUGCAGCCAUAAUUUUAUAUUUAUUGCUACAUAUAUAUAAGAAAAUGCAUAACUAUAUCAGCUAUGCAUAUAACAACAUUUUGUGGACCUCAUAUUCCACCAAGAGCUAGCAAAAAGGGAAAUAUUUGUGGUAGAGGUUUUGCCCUUUAGGAUCUACUAAAAAGGCAGCCAGGUGAUGAGCAGGAAGAGAAACCUGGCAUAUAAUGAUGUGGGAAGGAAAGUGAUGCAAUGCCCCAAUAAGAACUUUUUUUCAGAAAAGUAGGAAAGUUCUGGUAACAAUAGAGGGAGAAGCAAUAAGAGUUUUUUGACAGAAGAGAAAGACAGUGGCAGGUGUGAGCAAUGACAACAUUUGUGUGGGGGUGGAGAGCAGCAGGUGUGUAGACAAAAAGAAAAACAGUGACAAGGAAGCAAAAGUCAGGGCAGCUCUCUAAGUUUCUGGGCAGGAGCAAGCCUGGGUGGAGGUAGGGAAGGCAGGAGGCCCAGAGAAGGAAGAGCAGCAAGGUCAGGUUGUCUCAAUGCUCCCUUUGUAGGGCAAGGUAUUGUCUUGUUCCAUUUAUGCAUCUAUUAAUUGAAAGAGGGUUGGAUUGAGUGGCAUAUUCCAGAUGCAGGGCCAUUCUGUGGCAUAGCUCUCUCAAUGAAGGGCUUCCAAAACAGUUUUAGCACUAUAGAGAUCAAGCACUUUAAAGGUUCAUUUGAGAUGUGUGAGUGUGUGUCUAUGUGUGUGUUUUUUUGGAAGUGGGGGCCAGUCAUUGUCAUAUGCUCUAGAAUUAUUAGCCUAGGAGAACUCAGGACAUCAGACUGUGGUGGCAGCCUCAGGCCUGCAUCCUGUAGAAUACAAGGGUAGAAUCCACACAUUUGCAGCAAGCCCAAACGUCUCUUUUGUUUUUAAUUUUCUCUUCUUUGUAAAAGCAAAGAAAAAAAAAUUACUGUGCUCUCCUACUGUAAG
Molecule: long non-coding RNA, 4012 nt
Filed under: Sus scrofa (pig)
Lineage: Eukaryota; Metazoa; Chordata; Mammalia; Artiodactyla; Suidae
Description: lncRNA (ENSSSCG00035049923.1)
Source: RNAcentral